Molecule: ribosomal RNA, 458 nt
Filed under: uncultured bacterium
Lineage: Bacteria
Description: partial 16S ribosomal RNA
Rfam family: Bacterial small subunit ribosomal RNA
Source: RNAcentral
CCUACGGGAGGCAGCAGUGAGGAAUAUUGGUCAAUGGGCGAGAGCCUGAACCAGCCAAGUCGCGUGAGGGAGUACUGCCCUAUGGGUUGUAAACCUCUUUUGUCGGGGAGCAAAAGCCGGACGUGUCCGGCUGUGAGAGUACCCGAAGAAAAAGCAUCGGCUAACCCCGUGCCAGCAGCCGCGGUAAUACGGGGGAUGCGAGCGUUAUCCGGAUUUAUUGGGGUUAAAGGGUGCGCAGGCGGAUUUUUAAGUCAGCGGUCAAAUCGUGGGGCUCAACCCCAUCCAGCCGUUGAAACUGGGGAUCUAGAGUGGGCGAGAGGUAUGCGGAAUGCGUGGUGUAGCGGUGAAAUGCAUAGAUAUCACGCAGAACCCCGAUUGCGAAGGCAGCAUACCGGUGCACAACUGACGCUCAGGCACGAAAGCGUGGGUAUCGAACAGGAUUAGAUACCCCAGUAGUC